RNAcentral lists this unclassified non-coding RNA (240 nucleotides) under soil metagenome. RNAcentral describes it as "partial contains 5.8S ribosomal RNA, internal transcribed spacer 2, and large subunit ribosomal RNA". The record is from RNAcentral.
AACAUCGCGCACCUGCGGGAACCUGCGGAGGGAUCAUUACAGAGUUGCAAAACUCCCUAAACCAUUGUGAACGUUACCUAAACCGUUGCUUCGGCGGGCGGCCCGGGUCCUUCCCGGCACCCAUCGGCCCUCGCGGGCGCCCGCCGGAGGUAAACCAAACUAUUGCAUUGUAUGGCCUCUCUGAGUCUUCUGUACUGAAUAAGUCAAAACUUUCAACAACGGAUCUCAGAUCGGAAGAGC